This is a non-coding RNA of Solanum lycopersicum (tomato), 161 nucleotides long. NCBI's taxonomy places the organism in Eukaryota, Viridiplantae, Streptophyta, Magnoliopsida, Solanales, Solanaceae. The record is from Rfam.
AUACUUACCUGGACGGGGUCAAUGGUUGAUCAUGAAGGCCCAUGGCCUAGGCUUAUGACCUCUAUUGCACUUUGAAGGGGUACUUGCCUAAGGUCGGCCCAAGUGGUCGAGCCUACGUCAUAAUUUUUUGCUGAAGAGGCUUGCGAUCGCGCGGCCCUUGC